CCUACGGGUGGCAGCAGUGGGGAAUAUUGGGCAAUGGAGGAAACUCUGACCCAGCAACGCCGCGUGAAGGAUGAAGGUUUUCUGAUUGUAAACUUCUGUUUCGACGGAUGAAGAAUCACGGUACCUCGUGAGGAAGCCCCGGCAAACUACGUGCCAGCAGCCUCGGUAAUACGUAGGGGGCAAGCGUUGUCCGGAAUUACUGGGCGUAAAGGGAGUGUAGGCGGCCUUUUAAGUUAUAUGUGAAAGCCCCCGGCUUAACUGAGGAACUGCAUAUGAAACUGGACGGCUAGAGUGCAGUAGAGGUAAGCGGAAUUUAUAGUGUAGCGGUGGAAUGCGUAGAUAUCAGGAAGAACACCGGAGGCGAAGGCGGCUUACUGAACUGUUACUGACGCUGAGGCUCGAAAGCGUGGGGAGCAAACAGGAUUAGAUACCCGAGUAGUC
Molecule: ribosomal RNA, 441 nt
Filed under: uncultured bacterium
Lineage: Bacteria
Description: partial 16S ribosomal RNA
Rfam family: Bacterial small subunit ribosomal RNA
Source: RNAcentral